GCGAAAGUGGCGGAAUUGGUAGACGCCCUGGUUUUAGGUACCAGUGCCUCACGGCGUGCGGGUUCGAGUCCCGCCUUUCGCACCA
This 85-nucleotide transfer RNA is filed under the name Luteimonas sp. MC1782. Its description in RNAcentral is "tRNA-Leu". It matches the Rfam family "tRNA". From Rfam's summary of the family: Transfer RNA (tRNA) molecules are approximately 80 nucleotides in length. Their secondary structure includes four short double-helical elements and three loops (D, anti-codon, and T loops). Further hydrogen bonds mediate the characteristic L-shaped molecular structure. tRNAs have two regions of fundamental functional importance: the anti-codon, which is responsible for specific mRNA codon recognition, and the 3' end, to which the tRNAs corresponding amino acid is attached (by aminoacyl-tRNA synthetases). tRNAs cope with the degeneracy of the genetic code in two manners: having more than one tRNA (with a specific anti-codon) for a particular amino acid; and 'wobble' base-pairing, i.e. permitting non-standard base-pairing at the 3rd anti-codon position. The record is from RNAcentral. RNAcentral also lists the same sequence under 3 other names. Lineage: Bacteria; Pseudomonadati; Pseudomonadota; Gammaproteobacteria; Lysobacterales; Lysobacteraceae.